Molecule: ribosomal RNA, 497 nt
Filed under: uncultured bacterium
Lineage: Bacteria
Description: partial 16S ribosomal RNA
Rfam family: Bacterial small subunit ribosomal RNA
Source: RNAcentral
GGUGAACGCUGGCGGCGUGCCUAAUACAUGCAAGUCGAGCGAACAGACGAGGAGCUUGCUCCUCUGACGUUAGCGGCGGACGGGUGAGUAACACGUGGAUAACCUACCUAUAAGACUGGGAUAACUUCGGGAAACCGGAGCUAAUACCGGAUAAUAUAUUGAACCGCAUGGUUCAAUAGUGAAAGACGGUUUUGCCGUCACUUAUAGAUGGAUCCGCGCCGCAUUAGCUAGUUGGUAAGGUAACGGCUUACCAAGGCAACGAUGCGUAGCCGACCUGAGAGGGUGAUCGGCCACACUGGAACUGAGACACGGUCCAGACUCCUACGGGAGGCAGCAGUAGGGAAUCUUCCGCAAUGGGCGAAAGCCUGACGGAGCAACGCCGCGUGAGUGAUGAAGGUCUUCGGAUCGUAAAACUCUGUUAUUAGGGAAGAACAAAUGUGUAAGUAACUAUGCACGUCUUGACGGUACCUAAUCAGAAAGCCACGGCUAACUACGUG